This 701-nucleotide ribosomal RNA is filed under the name Didymosphenia geminata (rock snot). RNAcentral's name for it is "eukaryotic LSU rRNA". The stretch from base 343 to 497 matches the Rfam family "5.8S ribosomal RNA". The record is from RNAcentral. Lineage: Eukaryota; Bacillariophyta; Bacillariophyceae; Cymbellales; Cymbellaceae.
UAAUGCCUUUACUGGUGUUGGUUUCAAGAACUUGUCUAAACCUUAUCAUUUAGAGGAAGGUGAAGUCGUAACAAGGUUUCCGUAGGUGAACCUGCGGAAGGAUCAUUACCACACAAUAAUCCAAACCGCGCUUACAUUAAACCCAUAGGCUCUGGCCCUGCUAACUAGUGGUAAACCCCUCUGUAACCCAUCGAGUCUCUCUGGUGUUUACGACCUUAUAAGAUCUCAUUAUGUGCCACUGCCGUGAUGAUGCAACCUGGAGGCCAACGAGUACGAUCCACCAAUUUAAAUUCAAUCGACAGCUUGACGAGAGUCAAGUUUAAAAGUAUAACAUUCCAAUACAACUUUCAGCAAUGGAUGUCUUGGUUCCCAACACAAUGAAGAACACAGCGAAAUGUGAUACGUAAUACGAAUUGCAAGACUUUGUGAAUCAUUGAAUUUUUGAACGCAUAUUGCGCUGCCAGAUUCUUUCUGGGAGCAUACACGACAGAGUAUCAUCAAACCCCAAUCUAUAACAUUAUUUGUUAUGGGCAAGUGAAGUUGGCUUUAAACAAAGCACUCCUUCUAAGUUAUUUAGUGCAGAGGCAUUUUCACAUUGUAGGAAACUCAGUGUAUUUGUUUCAACGUGCUAUUGGUCAAAAUUCANUUUUUGACUGUCUUCUUAACUGAUCUCUGACUGUGUAGGACUACCCGCUGAAUUU